This 378-nucleotide ribosomal RNA is filed under the name uncultured eukaryote. Its description in RNAcentral is "partial 18S ribosomal RNA". It matches the Rfam family "Eukaryotic small subunit ribosomal RNA", at positions 592 to 976 of the family's 1831-position model. The record is from RNAcentral.
CAAUAGCGUAUAUUUAAGUUGUUGCAGUUAAAAAGCUCGUAGUUGGAUUUCGGGUGGGACGCAGCGGUCUCGCAUUGCGUUUGUACUGCUGCAGCCCUCCUUCUUGCCGGGGGCGGCCUCUCGGACUUCACUGUCUGGGGGUCAGAAUCGGCGAUGUUACUUUGAGUAAAUUAGAGUGUUCAAAGCAAGCUUACGCUCUGAAUAUAAUAGCAUGGGAUAACACGACAGGAAUCUGGCCUAUCGUGUUGGUCUAUAGGACCAGAGUAAUGAUUAAGAGGGACAGUCGGGGGCAUUCGUAUUCCGUUGUCAGAGGUGAAAUUCUUGGAUUUACGGAAGACGAACAUCUGCGAAAGCAUUUGCCAAGGAUGUUUUCAUUGA